AGCAGUCGCCGCGGUAAUACGUAGGUGGCAAGCGUUGUCCGGAAUUAUUGGGCGUAAAGGGCUCGCAGGCGGUUUCUUAAGUCUGAUGUGAAAGCCCCCGGCUCAACCGGGGAGGGUCAUUGGAAACUGGGAAACUUGAGUGCAGAAGAGGAGAGUGGAAUUCCACGUGUAGCGGCGAAAUGCGUAGAGAUGUGGAGGAACACCAGUGGCGAAGGCGACUCUCUGGUCUGUAACUGACGCUGAGGAGCGAAAGCGUGGGGAGCGAACAGGAUUAGAUACCCCUGUAGUCCCUGUCUCUUAUAC
RNAcentral lists this ribosomal RNA (303 nucleotides) under uncultured bacterium. Its description in RNAcentral is "partial 16S ribosomal RNA". It matches the Rfam family "Bacterial small subunit ribosomal RNA", at positions 507 to 807 of the family's 1533-position model. The record is from RNAcentral.